GAUGAAGAACGUAGCGAAAUGCGAUAAGUAAUGUGAAUUGCAGAGUUCAGUGAAUCAUCGAAUCUUUGAACGCACAUUGCGCCCGCCAGUAUUCUGGCGGGCAUGCCUGUUCGAGCGUCAUUUCAACCAUCAAGCCCCAGGCUUGUGUUGGGGACCUGCGGCUGCCGCAGGCCCUGAAAACCAGUGGCGGGCUCGCUGUCACACCGGGCGUAGUAGAUUUUAUCUCGCUCAGGGCGUGCUGCGGGUUCCGGCCGUUAAAAAGCCUUUUUUACCCAAGGUUGACCUCGGAUCAGGUAGGAAGACCCGCUGAACUUAAGCAUAUCAAUAAGCGGAGGA
This 336-nucleotide unclassified non-coding RNA is filed under the name soil metagenome. RNAcentral's name for it is "partial contains 5.8S ribosomal RNA, internal transcribed spacer 2, and large subunit ribosomal RNA". The stretch from base 1 to 120 matches the Rfam family "5.8S ribosomal RNA", at positions 35 to 154 of the family's 154-position model. The record is from RNAcentral.